UAUCACUGACCCAAGACACGAAAAAUAUAGACUAAAGCAACACAUUCGGUGGAUUCGUUUUAUCAAUUUGCCAAAACGGCCAAAUGCCUUAAGUGAUCCUUACAAUCUGAAGUCAUAUUGAUAAUCAGUAAUCAUUCACGGCGGGUUAUAAGAUCAUGGGACGUGAUAAUAAGCCAGAUUAUGAAUUAAAUCCGAGGCCGAAGCCGAAGGGUAAAUGCUUCCCAGCCAACACCAAAGUUUACACCAAAGAUGGCGUAAAAUAUAUUCAAGAUGUUCAAGUCGGGGAUCUUAUACAUGACGGUGAAGGGUUCACUGAAGUCUGGGUUCAUGCUCAUUAUGAUAUUACAACAGAAGUAAUAUAUUACCAAAUACAAACAGAAAAGAACCACAUACUUAUUAGCGAGGAUCAUUUUCUCGAUGUUAAGGACCCGAAACCAGCAUCAAGCAUCUACAAAAUGGCGAAUCAAGUUACGACUGAUGAUUGCUUGAUAAACAAAGAGGGAAUGCCAGAAAAAAUAUUAAAAAUAGAAAAGAAAGAAGGGUUGGGUAUGUUUGCCCCUUUCACUUUGUCGGGAAAAAUCGUUGUUAAUGAAAUCAGAGCAUCUUGUUAUGCGGUUGUGGAGCCGAAAGUAGCCCAUGACGCCCUCGAAGGUCUGCGAGCGAUGUAUAAAGAUCCAGCUAGUAAAGAUGAAUUGGAAACCCUUCUGAGACCAAACCAGAUGGGAAUACCACAAGUAUUCCACGAAGCUUUCAAAUCUUUGCUUGACGCUGAAACUGUGUAAAAUUAUAUGAACAAUUUUCUAUAGACCAUUAAAAAAAUGUUUGGCUGAUGCCAGUCAACUUAUAACAAUAUAAACUUAUUUGUGCAUAAACAGGUGUUAGAAAGUAAAAAUACGAUCAGAUUAUAACGAAAUUUUAAUACAUAAUGCUAUGAAAACAGAAUUUGAUUUUAAAAACAGUGUUUCUAAAAUGUAAAUCGUUUUCUUUUUUUUUUUUUAAAUUUGGAUAAGUUGCUAGAAAUUGUCUAUAAUAUUACAUUGAAUAAUAUUUUUCUAAUUUCAAAAUGUCUAGAAAAUGUCAUAAAGCCCAUUGUACUUUAUAUAAUUUGUGUAAUCCACCAUCCACUGUUAAUAAACUACAGGUAUUA
Molecule: long non-coding RNA, 1147 nt
Organism: Patella vulgata (common limpet)
Lineage: Eukaryota; Metazoa; Mollusca; Gastropoda; Patellidae
Exons: 4
Source: RefSeq, a predicted model, not a curated record